CCUCCAUCUCUCUAUAAUACACUAAAAUGGACAGCUCCCAUCUCUCUCUGGCAAUGAUCGACUUCGAUCUUACUAUAGCACACAAAUACUAGCAGUUCUGAUCUCUCUAUUACACAUUCACACCUAUGGUACAUAUAGACAGCCUGAAUCUCUCCCUAUAGCAAUCAUAUCAUACUGGCUGCUCUAUUCUCUCUAUAGCACGGUAAUCGUACCAGUUCCUAUCUCUCUCUCUAACACACUAAUCCUACCAGUUCCAAUCUCACUAUAACACGGCAAUAAUACCAGCUCCCAUCUCUCUAUAACACAGCAAUAAGACCAGCUCCCAUCUCUCUAUAACACGGCAAUAAUACCAGCUCCCAUCUCUCUAUAACACGGCAAUAAGGCCAGCUCCCAUCUCUCUAUAACACGGCAAUAAG
Non-coding RNA from Pelobates cultripes (western spadefoot toad), 416 nucleotides. Lineage: Eukaryota; Metazoa; Chordata; Amphibia; Anura; Pelobatidae. The record is from the annotation of a GenBank genome assembly.